GACAGAGGAUGCAAGCGUUAUCUGGAAUGAUUGGGCGUAAAGCGUCUGUUGGUGGCUUUUCAAGUCCGCCGUCAAAUCCCAGGGCUCAACCCUGGACAGGCGGUGGAAACUACCAAGCUGGAGUAUGGUAGGGGCAGAGGGAAUUUCCGGUGGAGCGGUGAAAUGCAUUGAGAUUGGAAAGAACACCAACGGCGAAAGCACUCUGCUGGGCCGACACUGACACUGAGAGACGAAAGCUAGGGGAGCAAAUGGG
This 253-nucleotide ribosomal RNA is filed under the name uncultured bacterium. RNAcentral's name for it is "partial 16S ribosomal RNA". It matches the Rfam family "Bacterial small subunit ribosomal RNA", at positions 524 to 776 of the family's 1533-position model. The record is from RNAcentral.